AACCUGCCCAAGAGACUGGGAUAACACCUGGAAACAGAUGCUAAUACCGGAUAACAACACUAGACGCAUGUCUAGAGUUUAAAAGAUGGUUCUGCUAUCACUCUUGGAUGGACCUGCGGUGCAUUAGCUAGUUGGUAAGGUAACGGCUUACCAAGGCAAUGAUGCAUAGCCGAGUUGAGAGACUGAUCGGCCACAUUGGGACUGAGACNCGGCCCAAACUCCUACGGGAGGCAGCAGUAGGGAAUCUUCCACAAUGGACGCAAGUCUGAUGGAGCAACGCCGCGUGAGUGAAGAAGGGUUUCGGCUCGUAAAGCUCUGUUGGUAGUGAAGAAAGAUAGAGGUAGUAACUGGCCUUUAUUUGACGGUAAUUACUUAGAAAGUCACGGCUAACUACGUGCCAGCAGCCGCGGUAAUACGUAGGUGGCAAGCGUUGUCCGGAUUUAUUGGGCGUAAAGCGAGUGCAGGCGGUUCAAUAANUCUGAUGUGAAAGCCUUCGGCUCAACCGGAGAAUUGCAUCANAAACUGUUGAACUUGAGUGCANAANAGGAGAGUGGAACUCCAUGUGUAGCGGUGGAAUGCGUAGAUAUAUGGGAAGAACACCNNUGGCGAAGGCGGCUCUCUGGUCUGCAACUGACGCUGAGGCUCGAAAGCAUGGGUAGCGAACAGGAUUANAUACCCUGGUAGUCCAUGCCGUAAACNAUGANNGCUAAGUGUUGGGAGGUUUCCNCCUCUCNNNGCUGCAGCUAANGCAUUAAGCACUCCGCCUGGGGGANUACNACC
Molecule: ribosomal RNA, 780 nt
Filed under: Lactobacillus gasseri
Lineage: Bacteria; Bacillati; Bacillota; Bacilli; Lactobacillales; Lactobacillaceae
Description: partial 16S ribosomal RNA
Rfam family: Bacterial small subunit ribosomal RNA
Source: RNAcentral